CCCUUCGUCAAAUUUCACAAACCCUAGCCUCACUCUGUUCGUAGCAUGGAUAGAUAGUGGCGGCGGAGAGGCGACGGCGGUGCGAGCAGCAGUGGCCGACAGUUGAGGGCGGUGCAACGAGUCUUGAUGAGCCAUGGCCUUAGCAAGCUGUUCUUUGUGUUCAAGUCGUCGUCGUCGGAGGACCUCAAUCCCACUUAUCUUGUGCCCUUGAUGCGGGGUGAAGCAAAUCGUGGAGCUUACUGCUAACACGGAAGCUAAUCAAGGCCGCAUAUUCUUCACAUGCCCUUCACACGAGAAGGGUGGAAGUGGUUGCGAUUUUUGGUAUUGGGAGGAAGGGUAUAUUAAAUACCUGAAUAGGAAAGGCUUGAUUGAGCAAAACACUUGUGCAAAGUUGCUGAAUGAAGCAAACCAGAGGGAAAUGCAGAGGGGAACUGAAGAAAUCAAGCUGGAUGCAGAUGUGAAGAAGAAGAGCACGGUUCAAGAGAUUAGAAAAGAUGCAGAUGUUGAAGAAUUUAAGCAGGCUGAUCAUAUGUUGCUCAUUUUGAGGGAGAUGAUGGUGAUGAUGAAGCUCAUGCUAGUUGGUGGUGUGUGUUCAGUUGGUUUGAUAGUGUGUUGUUUCCUUGUUCUAUGGUUUAAGUGAUGUGUGCCCAUUGUAUCAGUGAAUUUUGGGUUGUAUUCAGGCUAAACCAUACUGUGUUGGUUUGCAAUGUGCAAUGAGAUGUGAAACUUUUGAAAUGGUAAUGUCAGGUUUGCAGUCUUUAGUACA
Long non-coding RNA from Oryza sativa Japonica Group (Japanese rice), 766 nucleotides. RefSeq lists it as uncharacterized. NCBI's taxonomy places the organism in Eukaryota, Viridiplantae, Streptophyta, Magnoliopsida, Poales, Poaceae. The record is from RefSeq and is a predicted model, not a curated record.